Molecule: ribosomal RNA, 377 nt
Filed under: uncultured delta proteobacterium
Lineage: Bacteria; Deltaproteobacteria
Description: bacterial SSU rRNA
Rfam family: Bacterial small subunit ribosomal RNA
Source: RNAcentral
UAAUACGGAGGGGGCAAGCGUUGUUCGGAAUUAUUGGGCGUAAAGCGUAUGUAGGCGGUUAAACAAGUCAGGCGUGCAAGCCCGUGGUUCAACCACGGAAUUGCGUUUGAAACUGUUUAACUUGAGUACAGGAGAGGAAAGCGGAAUUCCCAGUGUAGCGGUGAAAUGCAUUGAUAUUGGGAAGAACAUCUGUGGCGAAGGCGGCUUUCUGGUCUGUUACUGACGCUGAGAUACGAAAGCCAGGGUAGCGAACGGGAUUAGAUACCCCGGUAGUCCUGGCUGUAAACGAUGGGCACUAGGUGCAGGAGGUAUCGAUCCCCUCUGUGCCGUAGCUAACGCGUUAAGUGCCCCGCCUGGGGAGUACGGUCGCAAGGCUG